Molecule: non-coding RNA, 5673 nt
Organism: Python bivittatus (Burmese python)
Lineage: Eukaryota; Metazoa; Chordata; Lepidosauria; Squamata; Pythonidae
Source: RefSeq, a predicted model, not a curated record
UGUGACUGGAAGCCUUUUGAUCAGGAUAACUAUAAGGAGCUGUUUGGAGCCCUGGAUAAUGCUUUCUUGGUUGCUUAUGCUAUUGGAAUGUAUAUCAGUGGGAUUUUCGGUGAGCGUCUUCCCCUGCGCUACUACCUCUCCGGAGGCAUGUUGCUGAGUGGCUUGUUUACUUCCUUAUUUGGACUGGGCUACUACUGGAAUAUCCAUCAAUUAUGGUACUUUGUGUUUGUACAGAUCCUGAACGGCUUGGCUCAGACAACUGGUUGGCCAUCGGUGGUGACGUGUGUCGGCAACUGGUUUGGAAAGGGGAAGCGAGGUUUAAUCAUGGGCAUCUGGAAUUCACACACAUCUGUUGGAAACAUCUUGGGUUCCUUGAUUGCUGGCAUCUGGGUUUCAAAAGCAUGGGGGCUGUCGUUCAUUGUACCUGGAAUCAUUAUAGCCAUGAUGGGUGUCAUCUGCUUCCUGUUCCUCAUUGAAUAUCCAGAAGAUGUUGACUGCAGCCCACCUCUUCACCAUGAGACCAGUUCAGAUGAGAAAGGUCUGGAGGCAGGACAUUCCAUCAGUGACGGAAGCCUGAAUGUUUCUACCAACAGCCGAGAAAACAUCAUUGACAUGGUGGAAAACCCCAAAGACUCUGGGGAGGAUCGAGAAGCCAUCAGCUUCAUUGGUGCCCUCAAGAUACCUGGAGUGAUCGAAUUUUCCUUCUGCCUCUUAUUUGCCAAACUAGUCAGCUACACCUUUCUCUAUUGGUUGCCCCUCUAUAUCGUGAAUGUAGCUCGCUUAAGUGCAAAAGAAGCUGGAGAUAUGUCAACUUUGUUUGAUGCUGGUGGCAUUGUUGGGGGCAUUGUGGCUGGUCUCGUCUCAGACUACACUGGUGGCAGGGCCACCACAUGCUGUGCAAUGCUUAUCCUGGCAGCUCCCAUGCUCUUUUUGUACAAUUAUGUUGGCCAAAAUGGACUAGGUACAUCCAUAGCGAUGCUCAUUAUCUGUGGUGGCCUUGUUAACGGACCGUAUGCUCUCAUUACGACAGCAGUGUCAGCUGAUUUGGGUACUCAUGAAAGUCUCCAGGGAAAUGCAAAAGCUCUUUCCACAGUCACAGCCAUCAUUGAUGGAACCGGAUCUGUAGGUGCUGCUCUUGGACCCUUGCUAGCGGGUUUGAUCUCCAGCUCUGGCUGGGACAAUGUCUUCUACAUGUUGAUUUCAGCUGAUAUCUUGGCUUGUUUACUCCUUUCACGAGUGGUGUUCAAAGAAAUGCGUGGAUGGUGUGGCUGCUAUACACGAAAAAGAGGUGCUUGUUUGGCAUUAACUCACCCAGUACUGUUGGAUACAAAAUAGUUUACAGUGUGUCAAUCACCAUUUUUUGAACAGGCAUGCUCUGGGGCCAUAAAUCCUGCUUUAAAGAAUUUUAAUGUGGCCUGCCUGACCAAAGGUAGCCCAUCGGGGCAAAAAAGAAGAGCAUUGCCAAGAUGGCCGGGUUUGUUGCCCCCACCCACCCAACUCACGUGGGACGAAUUAAUGAAGCUCAAAUGUGCUCCAGAGUCAGAACUCUCUUGCAAAACACUAGCCAGAUUAAUCUCUGGCUGCACUUCUGUUGUUUAAAAUGAUUGACAGUGGGAAGCAGGAAAAGUGAAGCAACAAGAGAAAAAAAAUGGGCGUAUUUGGGAUCCAGGUCGAGUCCCCAGGCCUUUGUUUUUCUAUCAGUUGCCAGCUCCAUCCCAUUUUGUUACUGCUCCUUUUUUACUAUUAAAAACAGAGAACCAGUCCAGGGUUUAUUUCUCUACCUGGAGGAAGAAAAGACUUUGGUCCUCUUGUAAUUGCUGCCUCUCCAACAGUCCUAUUUUCUUCUCUGGAGAUGGUUUUAUUUUAUGCAAAACCACUGCCAAGUCUUCAAUUUGAAUUACAAGAAUAACACAGGGAAAAGAAUUUUCCUCUUAAGCCACACUCUUUUUUACUAAAAGUUUUAUGUUAGUGAUAGAUGUUUCUACUACAAGGACCGCCAUAUGAAGCUAGAUGCAAAAUAAUACCACGGGCAGAGGCCAUCACAUGGUGGCCACAGAAUGGAGCUAAUCACCCAUAAACCAUCCUUAAACUCAGUAAGCAGAACUCAUGUUCUAUAGGCGAAUAACUUUUGGGAGGGAAAGGUUAGUGAUUUGCACAAAGUGAGGCAUGGCAAGAGAUUUUUGUUGAACCUGCAGAUUUAACUGCAGAACUUCUUGGAAGAAGGAAAUGGCAGGCCACUUCCACAAUACUGCCAGAAGAUUCCAAAUCAACCUGUUGUCUAUUCCUGCUUUAUGUCCUCUACAAUCCUUGAAAUAUCUCCAACUGGAAAGCAAUUUUUUCUUCUUACUGAAAGAUCUGGGAACUUCUUUAAAAGAAAUGUUUAAUGUUCUACCCUCCCCUGCUUGUGGUAAAGAGUUCUUGGACCAACUGGGCCUAUUUGGACAGGCAGGAAUAAAAACCACCCAUCUUCAGAGAGUCAGACUUUGUCUGUGCAUCAUCUUUUUUUCAUAGUUCACACCAAUACAGAGAGCUGCUGCUCUUGAUGCAUGCAACAUGGCCAACAUAUAUAUCACUUUAUGCUCUGUUUACCCCAAUUGUCUCAGGGCAAAUAAUGUAUAUUGUGUGGUAAAGUAUUCACACUGGAAGUUUGGAAGAAUAUUCAAACCAGCAGAAUGGGGGGUUCCAUUAUGAUCUAGGAUACACUACAUUCCUCUGGGAAUGUUUGAGUUUGUUCAGGAUGGUCUCCAGGCUAAAACACCUGUCUCCAGAUCAUCCAUUGUAUGGAGACUCCUUAGAGUUAGAUGUGAAGGAAUGCAGGAAUUAGGUCUCUGUGGAGCCCCCGUUCUGCUUUCGUUAAACAUUCUCAUUUAAUUUUAUGGAAAAGAAUUUUUCCCCCAGGGAGAAGAAAAUGCUAGUGAAAUUCUCAUAGGGAGUUGGCACAGGGUGCUUCCCUUUAACUCAGUUAUAAAUUGACCAGGAAUGUGUUUUGUCUUUCAUUAAGUAGCCAUCUUCUCCAAGAGCUGCAGCUUCUAUCGCAUCUCUUUCUUCUAACUGGUCCCUUCCAACUCUGGGAUUGUACUCCAAAUCACAACAGAAGGCCUCAUGAAGGGAAUGUCUUCCUCCCUUCCAAAUUAGGUCUUUUCCAGAUUAGAGAGUGAAGGUAACCAAGCAAGGGAUCAAAAGAGCAGUAAGCUCAAAAAUGCCAAGUUAAAUUGGAAAGUAUUUCAGCCAAAUAAGAAAGAUGAUGAACUCCACUAGCAAAAGUUUAUGCCAUAACAACUCAUGAUAGGCUUUAGGCUGACAGAAAGCUCUGGGUAGUUUAUAUAAUGCUUGCCAUCUUAUAUGUAGAACAACUUGCUGGAGGUGAAAUCUUGUGGUGCACUAGUUCAAUUCAUGUAACAAGUAAAGACUCACCGUGAAUUGUAUUUACACUGUAGCCUACUUUGUUUAGGUUUGCUGUGGCGUGAGAAUAAUGGCCGGCUCUAAAGUAGAGCAGACCCAUUCCUUAACGUGUCUCUUUAUUUCAAUUUCAAUCUCUGUGAUGGGUUUCAUAGAUCAUACUAAGCCUGUAGUUUAUUUGGUUUGGGCAUAGCAUUUUAAGUGAAUUCAGACGUUGUACUUGCUUCAGAAGCCAUGGUUAAACAAACAGUGACCUAGUGUGACUAAGGCUGGAGCCAUCUCUGCAGCUUGAUUUCUUCAGUGCAAUUCCAUCCACCAUUUAUAACAUAGUACUGGUCUAUUCAAAACAGCCCCUGGAUUUGCCUCUGAACUAUUUAACUACCCUUCUCUUUUUUUGUUCUGCAUGUCUGUUUAGCUCCUUAAAUACUUACCAUGGAAUAUCCCCAGUGGGGGAUGAGAACUUUUCUUACACUUUAUAUACAGUUUUUAAGAGAAGAUUUCUUAAAGGGAGAAUUGGAACAGCUGAAGUGCUGUACAUUUUCUCUAUGAUGGCUACCAUACCAUCAGGGUGAAUCUAAAUACAUCCCGCCCCCCAUCAAUCUGCAAUUAAGAGUGCAGUCCAGAAGACAUCUAGGCCACCUAGACCAAAUAGCUUCAACUUCUAGAAUGGUUGAAAAAGUGGACCAGGAAGAAAGUAGCAUUUGAUGUUCAGCUUUGAUCAAGUCCAGAACUACAACUGUUAAUUAGUAGGUAUAUUGUAACACAUGGAUAAUAAUCAGCUUGUUUUUCAAAUGAGAGCUAUGGCUUUAUGUACAAUCUUUAAGGUAAUACAUGGACUGGAAAGAAAUUACACUUUUCAAGGACUCCUUUACGUAAAAGUACCCAGCCUUUUCUGAGAAAUUUUGUUAGCUAAGGUUGUAGUCAAACAGCUUUCCACUGUUAGUAUUAAACAUGAUGGGUGCCAAAUAUAGUGUUUAUGUACAGCACAAACUUAAAGCAUAAUUGACUUCACCUCCUUGGAACUUAGCACACAGAGGAACAUUUGUACUUGAUGUUAUUUUACUAAGUGCUGAUUCCACCAGUAAAGACAAGGAGUGGGGAAGAGAAGGAAGAGGGCCACAAAGCAAAUUGUAAGACCAAAUUCUGGGUCCUGCCCAAAACGUACAUUUAUUUCAUUCAUUUAUAUCCUGUAUUUUUUCCCAAUGAGAGUAUUGGCAGGGGUGGAGUCCCAGGGAAUUUUUCCAUUGAAGCCUUGGUUGGGCCCAAGAUAGCUGAAUGCACCAUUGAAAUUAUGGAACUUCUAAUUUGAUGUACUACAACUUAACAGUAAGGCUGUAGUCCUAUAACAUAGUAGCUUGGGGUAGGACUGGGUACUUCAUUAAACAUAAUGGGACUUGGUUCCAAAUAGACAAUAUCUAUUGAUAUUGGAAUAUCAAAGGCAAGCAAAUAUUAACUGGGUUUUAAAAUAAGGAUAGAGCUACAUCAUGUGGAUUUGAGACAGGGUUGGAGGGGUUUAACACUUGGUUCAAUGUUUUAAACCUAUUCCAAAGCAUAAAGAAUUUUAAUCUAUGUUCUGUCUAAAACCAUUGGCAAUGUGGUCAGAGAAGGCUCUGGGAAUGUUAAGAAAGAGAGGUAUAUUUGAGGAACAGGCUUAUACUGUUAAGAUGUAAUUUAUUUGAAGUAAAUACCACUGAAUAGAAAAUGGACCCAUUGGAUUUCUCUGAUAUUUGAGAAAAACUUCUGACUUCAGAGGCAGAACAUUUUCAUUGAAUUGUUAUAUUCCCACCAGCUUCUGGUUCAAAAAGGGUGUGGCAGGAAGGAAUUUUGGAGCUGAAGGAUCCUUCCGAACUUUCCACAACACUUGACCCAGGAGAAAAUAAUACAUCUUUUCUGAAAAAAAUGGCACAGAGAGUGGUGAGCACGAUCCCUUCCUCGCUUUUGCCCUGUCUGUCUCCUUCCAACUUCAGAGUAAAUAAAUGACAAAUAAAGCCAUCAAGGAAGGUCCUUCAACACCUCAGGGCAUGCCAGUAUUGAGUACUCUGGAUGAUCAUUCAAAUUGUUCCUGUUCCAACUCCAGGUCUUACAAAUUACAAUACAUCAGGGAAGAGAAAUUUGGAAAAUGGAUAUUGGAUUGGUAUUUCUAACCAAUGUCACUAGGUGGCACUGCUGUUAUGAGAACUAUCUUAGGAGCUUCUGUAGACCUUCCAGUGUUGUCAAGUGAAUGCAUUUCCAAGUAACAAACACAUCUGAAAAAAAUUAAACAAUAAUUCAUUA